AACAAUAACACAAACACUCGUAUAUCUCCAGGGAAAUGGCCUGGAAGUUUCUACCUGCUACCAAUUAUUAGCAGACUAUGAGGUGUAAUAUAG
This 93-nucleotide non-coding RNA is filed under the name uncultured Clostridium sp. RNAcentral's name for it is "Purine riboswitch". It matches the Rfam family "Purine riboswitch aptamer". From Rfam's summary of the family: Riboswitches are metabolite binding domains within certain messenger RNAs that serve as precision sensors for their corresponding targets. Allosteric rearrangement of mRNA structure is mediated by ligand binding, and this results in modulation of gene expression. A class of riboswitches that selectively recognises guanine and becomes saturated at concentrations as low as 5 nM. The record is from RNAcentral. Lineage: Bacteria; Bacillati; Bacillota; Clostridia; Eubacteriales; Clostridiaceae.